GUGGCCCAAAGGGUAGGGCGCCAGCCCCAUAUGCUGGAGGUGGCGGGUUCAAACCCACC
Otolemur garnettii (small-eared galago) is the source of this 59-nucleotide non-coding RNA. The record is from Rfam. Lineage: Eukaryota; Metazoa; Chordata; Mammalia; Primates; Galagidae.